This 254-nucleotide ribosomal RNA is filed under the name uncultured bacterium. RNAcentral describes it as "partial 16S ribosomal RNA". It matches the Rfam family "Bacterial small subunit ribosomal RNA", at positions 524 to 776 of the family's 1533-position model. The record is from RNAcentral.
GACGAACCGUGCAAACGUUAUUCGGAAUCACUGGGCUUAAAGCGCGUGUAGGCGGAUGGGAACGUCGGUUACUGAAAGCCCCCGGCUCAACCGGGGAAGUGGUGCCGAAACGACCCGUCUGGAGGGACGUAGGGGGACCUGGAACUUCCGGUGGAGCGGUGAAAUGCGUUGAGAUCGGAAGGAACGCCCGUGGCGAAAGCGAGGUCCUGGACGUCUGCUGACGCUGAGACGCGAAAGCUAGGGGAGCAAACGGG